This 21-nucleotide ribosomal RNA is filed under the name Phyllozyma novozealandica. RNAcentral describes it as "partial 26S rRNA". The record is from RNAcentral. Lineage: Eukaryota; Fungi; Basidiomycota; Spiculogloeomycetes; Spiculogloeales; Spiculogloeaceae.
ACGACCUCAAAUCAGGCAGGA